RNAcentral lists this non-coding RNA (23 nucleotides) under Arabidopsis thaliana (thale cress). Lineage: Eukaryota; Viridiplantae; Streptophyta; Magnoliopsida; Brassicales; Brassicaceae. The record is from RNAcentral.
AAGGUUCCAAACAAACACUAGGU